RNAcentral lists this transfer RNA (74 nucleotides) under Nanobdellota archaeon. RNAcentral describes it as "tRNA-Asn". It matches the Rfam family "tRNA". Rfam says of the family: Transfer RNA (tRNA) molecules are approximately 80 nucleotides in length. Their secondary structure includes four short double-helical elements and three loops (D, anti-codon, and T loops). The record is from RNAcentral. Lineage: Archaea; Nanobdellati; Nanobdellota.
GCCUCGGUAGCUCAGCCUGGUAGAGCGCUUGACUGUUAAUCAAGUGGUCGCAAGUUCAAAUCUUGCCCGGGGCG